This 274-nucleotide ribosomal RNA is filed under the name uncultured bacterium. RNAcentral describes it as "partial 16S ribosomal RNA". It matches the Rfam family "Archaeal small subunit ribosomal RNA", at positions 473 to 747 of the family's 1478-position model. The record is from RNAcentral.
AAACCAGCACCUCAAGUGGUCAGGAUGAUUAUUGGGCCUAAAGCAUCCGUAGCCUGCUCUGUAAGUUUUCGGUUAAAUCUGUACGCUCAACGUACAGGCUGUCGGGAAUACUGCAGAGCUAGGGAGUGGGAGAGGUAGACGGUACUCGGGAGGAAGUGGUAAAAUGCUUUGAUCUCUCGAUGACCACCUGUGGCGAAGGCGGUCUAUCAGAACACGUCCGACGGUGAGGGAUGAAAGCUGGGGGAGCAAACCGGAUUAGAAACCCGGGUAGUCC